This is a long non-coding RNA of Syngnathoides biaculeatus (alligator pipefish), 1609 nucleotides long. RefSeq lists it as uncharacterized. The record is from RefSeq and is a predicted model, not a curated record. The transcript is spliced from 6 exons. NCBI's taxonomy places the organism in Eukaryota, Metazoa, Chordata, Actinopteri, Syngnathiformes, Syngnathidae.
GCGACGUCCCGUUUAGGAGCUGCAUGGCAUACGGAACCGACUCCUCGUGUUUGUAGACUGCAAAACCAAACGUUUUCUGUUUGCCAUCGCCAUCUUUUGGGAUUUUGGUUUUGAUGAGAGGUCCUGCCUGCUGAGAGAGAUUGCAUCAAUAGCCACCAAGCUUAUAGUGUCACCGAGUUUCAUCACCGGGACAUCAGCAGUAAUCGUCAACAACUACAGAGACACUGGAAGAGUCACAGAAAGAUGGACUGUACUACAGCGGUGAACAAGUUAAAAGCUCCCAUGCAGAGGCACGCCAGAAAGUUUUGCUCCAACAACCAGACCUCCCCCGAGGAGUCUCCCCUAGGGAGGAAGUCGAAGGGAAAGGACUGUCGUUUUACCUGAAAUGGCCGCACGCCCCCGAGCAAACAUCCAACGGCUGUAAGAUGGUCUCACUGGGAGGAACCAGAUGAGGUGGUUGGGGCAUCUGAUCCGGAUGCCUCCCGGACUACUCCCUGGUGAGGUUUUCCAGGCAUAUCCCACUGGAAUGAGACCUCGUGGACGACCCAGGACAGGCGCAUCUCUGAGGAUGCCUCGUGGACAGAUGUCCAGGGAUUACCCCCAUCCCAGCGGAGAGACAAAGGCUCUGUUUUUGUUUUUGAGUUUGCUUUACUCGCUGGAAAACGUCGGGUAUUUUUAGAAUGGAAGCGGAAUGAACAGCUGAACGAGCGGGCCGCACAGAACGUGCAUCAGCACGCUGGAGGUCCUGCGUUCUGACAGCAGGUGACGUCCCGUCCCUCCCUCCGGGCCUGCCUGCUGCAGUGUGGCACGAAUUGAUCUUCUUCCAGCUUGCGCUUGUUCGGUUUGAAUCUGAAUCAAGUAAGACAGUCAAACACAUUGUAAUACUCGUGUAAUAAAGCAACAUUUACACUUAAUGUUAAUGAUAUCCUUUGUUGUGGGAUUAUGGCUAGGUUUGGGCUUUAUUAUAAGGUUAUUACAAUAAUAUUCAUGUAUAAACUCAGUUAUGGAGCACUAGGCAUCUAGUGCAUUCCAGGUGAAGCAUUUAUUGGGGACACAUUUAUUUGUACAUAGUUGUAUGUAUUCCAACACUGUUUCUGGUCCCUCACUGUUGAAAUACUGGGUCCGGUUGUACCAAAUCCUUGAAAUUGCCACAAAUGUGUAAUGACAAGUCCUACACUAGGGACCACAUCUGCUUUGUAAACACACGGGGCCAAGUUAUGGAUUGAACUUUAUUUCAUUUCACUUUUUGUACCUCUACUUACAAAAUUAUUCUGUUCCAAAAGUCGUUUUGUAAUGUGAAUGUUUCGUAAGUCGAAGUGCAUUUUACAUGUAAAUAGUGUAAUCCGUUCCAUUGCCCACAACCCCACUCCCAAAAAUAAGCAUUCAAAGUACAUGAAAGGAAUGCUUAUGGAACAGAAACCCAGUAGAGCUCUGAGAUCGACCGACUCGGAUCAAAUAGUGGAGCGCAGAGUCCAAGGCAAAGAUGGUGAAGCAGCAUUUAGCUAUUAUGCUGCUCACAAAUGGAAUAAAUUAGCAACAGAAGUGAAGUCAACCCCAAAUGUGAUUGUUUUUAAAUCCAGAUUGAAAAGUCUUUUUAUUUUUGUCAUUU